Non-coding RNA from Onchocerca ochengi, 557 nucleotides. NCBI's taxonomy places the organism in Eukaryota, Metazoa, Nematoda, Chromadorea, Rhabditida, Onchocercidae. The record is from Rfam.
UACCUUUCAAAAAAUCUAUAGAAGAUAUUUCAAACUACAAUAAAUCGGAAGAAAUCUUUUGCUUAAAAUAUGAUUUUGGAAAAUUUUGGGGUUAGUUGCUCCGAUGCAGAAUCAUCGCAUAGUUCUAUUGUGAAAACUACUUUUUUAUGAAGCUUAAGGCAAAUUUUCAAACAAUGAAUAUUAUUGUUGAUGAUUAGUUCCUAAUGAUCUCGGUUCUAUUUUGUUGGUUUUCUGAUCUGAUAUGAUGGUUAAGAGACGGACAGAGGCAUUCGUAUCGCUGCGUGACAAGUGAAAUUCUUGGUCCGUAGCGAGACGUCCGACUGCGAAAGCAUUUGCCAAGAAUGUCUUCAUUAAUCAAGAAUGAAACUCAAAAGUUCGAAGGCGAUCAGAUGCCGCACUAGUUCUAACCGUAGGCGAUAUCAACUAGCGUUCUGUUGGCGAUAAAUACGCCUUGGCGGACAACUUCCCAGAAGCGAAAGUUUUUCGGUUUCGAGGAAAGUAUGUUACAAAGCCAAAAUUUAAAGAAAUUGAUGGAAGGACACCACCAGGACUGGAGC